RNAcentral lists this transfer RNA (79 nucleotides) under Acidobacterium capsulatum ATCC 51196. Its description in RNAcentral is "tRNA-Pro". It matches the Rfam family "tRNA". From Rfam's summary of the family: Transfer RNA (tRNA) molecules are approximately 80 nucleotides in length. Their secondary structure includes four short double-helical elements and three loops (D, anti-codon, and T loops). Lineage: Bacteria; Pseudomonadati; Acidobacteriota; Terriglobia; Terriglobales; Acidobacteriaceae. The record is from RNAcentral.
UCGGGACGUGGCUCAGCCUGGUAGAGCACUCGCUUGGGGUGCGAGGGGUCGGCAGUUCAAAUCUGCCCGUCCCGACCAG